RNAcentral lists this ribosomal RNA (484 nucleotides) under uncultured bacterium. Its description in RNAcentral is "partial 16S ribosomal RNA". It matches the Rfam family "Bacterial small subunit ribosomal RNA", at positions 30 to 507 of the family's 1533-position model. The record is from RNAcentral.
AUUGAACGCUGGCGGCAGGCCUAACACAUGCAAGUCGAGCGGAUGAAGGGAGCUUGCUCCUGGAUUCAGCGGCGGACGGGUGAGUAAUGCCUAGGAAUCUGCCUGGCAGUGGGGGAUAACGUCCGGAAACGGGCGCUAAUACCGCAUACGUCCUGAGGGAGAAAGUGGGGGAUCUUCGGACCUCACGCUAUCAGAUGAGCCUAGGUCGGAUUAGCUAGUUGGUGGGGUAAAGGCCUACCAAGGCGACGAUCCGUAACUGGUCUGAGAGGAUGAUCAGUCACACUGGAACUGAGACACGGUCCAGACUCCUACGGGAGGCAGCAGUGGGGAAUAUUGGACAAUGGGCGAAAGCCUGAUCCAGCCAUGCCGCGUGUGCGAAGAAGGUCUUCGGAUUGUAAAGCACUUUAAGUUGGGAGGAAGGGCAAUAAGUUAAUACCUUGCUGUUUUGACGUUACCAACAGAAUAAGCACCGGCUAACUUCGUG